CUCCUGUUCACCAGUUGUAAAGGUUUGACUCCUGUUCACCAGUUGUAAAGGUUUGACUCUUUUUGAGCUGUUGUAAAGGUGUCACUCCUGUUCACCAGUUGUAAAGGUUUGACUCCUGUUCACCAGUUGUAAAGGUUUGACUCUUUUUGAGCGGUUGUAAAGGUUUGACUCCUGUUCACCAGUUGUAAAGGUUUGACUCCUGUUCACCAGUUGUAAAGGUUUGACUCUUUUUGAGCUGUUGUAAAGGUUUGACUCCUGUUCACCAGUUGUAAAGGUUUGACUCCUGUUCACCAGUUGUAAAGGUUUGACUCCUGUUCAGCUGUUGUAAACGUUUGACUAUUUUUGAGCUGUUGUAAAAGUGUCACUCCUGUUCACCAGUUGUAAAGGUGUCACUCCUGUUCACCAGUUGUAAAGGUGUCACUUCUGUUCACCAGUUGUAAAAGUGUCACUCCUGUUCACCAGUCGUAAUGG
Molecule: long non-coding RNA, 471 nt
Organism: Gasterosteus aculeatus aculeatus (three-spined stickleback)
Lineage: Eukaryota; Metazoa; Chordata; Actinopteri; Perciformes; Gasterosteidae
Source: Ensembl